UGAAUACGAGAUGCUACGGCGUCGAAGCAGUCUAUGUCAUACUUCCAAGAAAAGCUUGCACUGUCAUAAACAAAUAAUGCCUGUACCAUAACCGACACAGGUGGGUAGGUAGAGUAUACUAAGGGGCGCGAGAUAACUCUCUCUAAGGAACUCGGCAAAAUGACUCCGUAACUUCGGGAGAAGGAGUGCCUUAUUUAUAAGGUUGCAAUAACAAGAUCCAAGCAACUGUUUACCAAAAACACAGGUCUCCGCUAAGUCGUAAGACGAUGUAUGGGGGCUGACGCCUGCCCAGUGCCAGAAGGUUAAAGAAGUUGGUUAGCAUCCGCGAAGCUGAUAACUGAAGCCCUGGUGAACGGCGGCCGUAACAAUAACGGUCCUAAGGUAGCGAAAUUCCUUGUCGGGUAAGUUCCGACCCGCACGAAAGGCGUAAUGAUUUGGAUACUGUCUCGGAGAGGGGCUCGGUGAAAUAGACUUGUCUGUGAAGAUGCGGACUACCUGCACCAGGACAGAAAGACCCUAUGAAGCUUUACUGUAACCUGAAAUUGAAAUUGGACUUUACUUGCGCAGUAUAGGUGGGAGGCGUUGAGAAUAUUCUUGCGGGAUUAUUGGAGCCAUCAGUGAGAUACCACUCUUGUAAUGUUAGAUUUCUAACUUUGUAUCAUUAUCUGGUCAAAGAACAGUUUCAGGCGGGCAGUUUGACUGGGGCGGUCGCCUCCUAAACGGUAACGGAGGCGCACAAAGGUUUCCUCUGAACGGGUAGAAAUCGUAUCUAGAGUGUAAAGGCAUAAGGAAGCUUGACUGUGAGACCUACAAGUCGAGCAGGGACGAAAGUCGGUCUUAGUGAUCUGACGGUGCUGAGUGGAAAGGCCGUCACUCAACGGAUAAAAGUUACUCUAAGGAUAACAGGCUGAUCUCCCCCAAGAGUUCACAUCGACGGGGAGGUUUGGCACCUCGAUGUCGGCUCAUCGCAUCCUGGGGCGGUAGUACGUCCCAAGGGUUGGGCUGUUCGCCCAUGAAAGCGGUACGCGAGCUGGGUUCAGAACGUCGUGAGACAGUUCGGUCCAUAUCCGGUGUAGGCGUUAGAAUAUUGAGAGGAGCCUUCUUUAGUACGAGAGGACCGAGAAGGACAUACCUCUGGUGUACCAGUUAUCGUGCCAACGGUAAACGCUGGGUAGCUAUGUGUGGAGUGGAUAACCGCUGAGAGCAUCUAAGUGGGAAGCCCACCUCAAGAUAAGUAUUCUCAU
This 1244-nucleotide ribosomal RNA is filed under the name metagenome. Its description in RNAcentral is "bacterial LSU rRNA". It matches the Rfam family "Bacterial large subunit ribosomal RNA", at positions 1564 to 2817 of the family's 2925-position model. The record is from RNAcentral.